RNAcentral lists this ribosomal RNA (492 nucleotides) under uncultured bacterium. RNAcentral describes it as "partial 16S ribosomal RNA". It matches the Rfam family "Bacterial small subunit ribosomal RNA", at positions 29 to 507 of the family's 1533-position model. The record is from RNAcentral.
AGUGAACGCUGGCGGUAGGCCUAACACAUGCAAGUCGAACGGCAGCACAGUAAGAGCUUGCUCUUACGGGUGGCGAGUGGCGGACGGGUGAGGAAUACAUCGGAACCUACUUUUUCGUGGGGGAUAACGUAGGGAAACUUACGCUAAUACCGCAUACGACCUACGGGUGAAAGCAGGGGAUCGUCGGACCUUGCGCGACUGAAUGAGCCGAUGUCGGAUUAGCUAGUUGGCGGGGUAAAGGCCCACCAAGGCGACGAUCCGUAGCUGGUCUGAGAGGAUGAUCAGCCACACUGGAACUGAGACACGGUCCAGACUCCUACGGGAGGCAGCAGUGGGGAAUAUUGGACAAUGGGCGCAAGCCUGAUCCAGCCAUACCGCGUGGGUGAAGAAGGCCUUCGGGUUGUAAAGCCCUUUUGUUGGGAAAGAAAAGCAGCAGGUUAAUACCCCGCUGUUCUGACGGUACCCAAAGAAUAAGCACCGGCUAACUUCGUG